AUUGAACGCUGGCGGCAGGCCUAACACAUGCAAGUCGAGCGGAUGAAGGGAGCUUGCUCCUGGAUUCAGCGGCGGACGGGUGAGUAAUGCCUAGGAAUCUGCCUGGUAGUGGGGGAUAACGUCCGGAAACGGGCGCUAAUACCGCAUACGUCCUGAGGGAGAAAGUGGGGGAUCUUCGGACCUCACGCUACCAGAUGAGCCUAGGUCGGAUUAGCUAGUUGGUGGGGUAAAGGCCUACCAAGGCGACGAUCCGUAACUGGUCUGAGAGGAUGAUCAGUCACACUGGAACUGAGACACGGUCCAGACUCCUACGGGAGGCAGCAGUGGGGAAUAUUGGACAAUGGGCGAAAGCCUGAUCCAGCCAUGCCGCGUGUGUGAAGAAGGUCUUCGGAUUGUAAAGCACUUUAAGUUGGGAGGAAGGGCAGUAAGUUAAUACCUUGCUGUUUUGACGGUACCAACAGAAUAAGCACCGGCUAACUUCGUG
This 484-nucleotide ribosomal RNA is filed under the name uncultured bacterium. Its description in RNAcentral is "partial 16S ribosomal RNA". It matches the Rfam family "Bacterial small subunit ribosomal RNA", at positions 30 to 507 of the family's 1533-position model. The record is from RNAcentral.